AGGAAGGAAGGAAGGAAGGAAGGAAGGAAGGAAAGGAAGGAAGGAAAGGAAGGAAGGGUCUUUAGGCUUGGUACUGCAUAUCCCAGGGGCUCUUUUAAAAUUUCCUCAGGGGGCUUAACUCCGUAUUCCUGGGGUGUGGGUGGGAGAUAGCUCAAGGCAAGGAGUAAAAUUUGUCAGCAAACCAGCAGGCCUUGCAGGAUGUCUCUUCUUCAUCCUCCACUCUUUACAGCAUGCUUUAAAAACAAAAAACAAAACCCAGAUGCAUUUCUCCUACCGAAAUGCAUCUCAAGGGCGGGUUAAAACCAAGGGAGACAAUACACCCCUUUCCGUGUGUGUGUGUGUGUGUGUAAAAGGAGACAGCCCCCCCCACCAACACCCAAGGAAACGGGGAAGAUGACUGAACACCGAAUUAAAAACAAAGGCCCAUUCCAGAACCUAUAUUGCAGCUGGACAGGAGACAGAGACAGAGAGAGAGGGAGGGAGACAAGCGUGACGUCCUGUAAUAUCGGACC
Non-coding RNA from Pseudonaja textilis, 512 nucleotides. NCBI's taxonomy places the organism in Eukaryota, Metazoa, Chordata, Lepidosauria, Squamata, Elapidae. The record is from RefSeq and is a predicted model, not a curated record.